ACUAUAUCUAGUGUUCAAGGUUCCUUUAGAUUCGUGUUUGAAUGAAGGGCUAAGACGGGAAUUCGGUAGCGGGCAUGAUGUCCGUGAAGCCGAGGCUGCCCCCGCAACUGUGAACGGCGAGUGCCUUAUCCAUCAUGCCACUGGGUUUCCCGGGAAGGCGGAGAAGGUGCAGUGAACCGUGAGCCAGGAGACCUGCCUUGAUCGAUACGUCCAC
Molecule: non-coding RNA, 214 nt
Filed under: Rhizobium oryziradicis
Lineage: Bacteria; Pseudomonadati; Pseudomonadota; Alphaproteobacteria; Hyphomicrobiales; Rhizobiaceae
Source: RNAcentral